CAUUAGAUGGCUGAAAGUAAGUAAUGGUCUCUUAAACCAAUUUAUAGUAAUUUAACAUUUACUUCUAAUGA
RNAcentral lists this transfer RNA (71 nucleotides) under Negha inflata. Its description in RNAcentral is "tRNA-Lys". Lineage: Eukaryota; Metazoa; Arthropoda; Insecta; Raphidioptera; Inocelliidae. RNAcentral also lists the same sequence under 4 other names. The record is from RNAcentral.